AUUCUAAUCAACUAAUUUAAUAUCUAAGGUAAGUAUCUAGAUGAUAGUUAUUUAAUUAGUUUCAUUGUCUGAUCUGACCAAUUUGAUUGAUGUCUAAGAAAAGCAAUAGGGAGAUCCCUACUCAUCUUAACUUACCUAACCACCUUGAGAGAUUCAGUUUCAUGCUAGGUUGUUGACUCAAGUUCAGCCAUGCCGACUAAACUGGUUAGAUAUGUAGAUGUGUUGACCUAAAUUUGAUCAGUUGAAUAUUAUAUCUGCUAAUUUAGAAG
This 269-nucleotide long non-coding RNA is filed under the name Elaeis guineensis (African oil palm). RNAcentral's name for it is "long non-coding RNA (EGUI_LNC042404)". The record is from RNAcentral. Lineage: Eukaryota; Viridiplantae; Streptophyta; Magnoliopsida; Arecales; Arecaceae.